Long non-coding RNA from Mya arenaria, 435 nucleotides. RefSeq lists it as uncharacterized. The record is from RefSeq and is a predicted model, not a curated record. Lineage: Eukaryota; Metazoa; Mollusca; Bivalvia; Myida; Myidae. The transcript has 3 exons.
CGGCUAGUAUCAAGAUAUGGCCUCGGAUAUAAAACGGGUCGUAAGAAAAUAGUCCAUCAUGGCCGACCAAGAAGAUGUUCAAACAACCAAGAGAUAUGUUAGACCAAAGACAGAAUGAGGAGCGUAACUUUUACCACUUUUUUGUGUAGAGCAGUAUGGUACCAGUGGUGCAGCCGACUCUGAAUUCCUGGCUUGUUCUAAUGAAAAAAGGCUGAUGAGGUACUGGAAUCCGAAUGAAAUCAAAAAUGCCAUUGUAUGAGGAUUGACCUGCAAUGCAUGGAAAUCAUCUAACACAACUGCCAACGUCUACCUUGGGGAAAUGAGUGCAAGAUGGAAACAAAGCAUUCAGUGAAACAUCUUGUCAUCUCAAAUAUUUGAUGACUCAAUACUGAUGUGAAGUUGCAGAUUAAAGUCAUCUGUUGGCCCGUGAUGAUU